AACUGUCAAUUCUCCAAUGGGGUCUGACUGCCGCUUGUUGCUAGUUGUUUGGUUCACACUUCCGUGCUAUCCAGGGUGCACGACGAGGAGGCGAACUAGCAUCACACCCCAUCAUCCAGUUGUUUAGACUACAUGUGACAUGGAGAUAACCAAGUUCAUCCAUCUUGCUGCUAGUCAUCAUCCUCUUCUCUUUCCUUCCACCUUUCAAAACAUUGGAGUCAGAGAACUACUGCUUUCUAGAAGAUUGAACUACAAUUCCCAUAAACCCAUUUAAAGUGGAUAAGGCCUAAUUGUAACGGGUACUUGAUUGCCUGUCCUGGAGAUAACUAAAAUGUAAAUUGCAUUUGGGUAGAACUUAACUCCAGAUUCUAUCAAUAUAAACAACAUAGAUAUCUGAAUUUGCUCAAAUUGUUCCUGAUUUCUUGGGGGUGGAGGGAGAGUUGGUUGCAAAAUAUUUAUUAUUACACUGUUUAAAACAGAUAAAAGCUGUCUAUUUGUCCAUGGACCAGUCCUGGAGCCUGGGGAAGGCUCUGAUGAGUGCUCUGCAUUGGAGGCAGAGAUCGGGCCAAGACUGUCUGACAGUUAUCAGCUACCUUCGGAGUCAGAGAUAAGUGGGGCAGAAGAACAGCUGAAGCCUGUUCCCGAGGUGCGCAUACCCAGAGCUGUCAGGAGAAUGGAACAAUUAAGGAACAGGGGUUGACUCGGGAGUACAGACACAAGUGGACGCUGAAUGGCCCCUCCUAUAGGGAAUAAAUAGGAGCUAAAGGGGAGUUGUUCUUUGCAGGAGAUGAUUAGUUCAUUUAUUAUUUUUGAAGAGUUGCUUAUCUGAGUCCGUGCCUCACAGAGACUUCUUGCCAAGUAUUUCGUUGUACAGCAUUGUGCCUGGAAGCUAUCGGCCUGGCAAUUAUCCAAGGACUGAUAAAGUCUGUUGUUGCAAUUCACCCUUGAAAGGCUUAUUGAUGGAACUUUUCUGGAUGUGAAUGCUAGGAAUUCACAUUAGCCAAAUUAAAAAAGGUUUUUUUUCGGGACAA
Long non-coding RNA from Pantherophis guttatus, 1031 nucleotides. RefSeq lists it as uncharacterized. The record is from RefSeq and is a predicted model, not a curated record. NCBI's taxonomy places the organism in Eukaryota, Metazoa, Chordata, Lepidosauria, Squamata, Colubridae.